RNAcentral lists this ribosomal RNA (406 nucleotides) under uncultured bacterium. RNAcentral's name for it is "partial 16S ribosomal RNA". It matches the Rfam family "Bacterial small subunit ribosomal RNA", at positions 30 to 526 of the family's 1533-position model. The record is from RNAcentral.
AUUGAACGCUGGCGGCAUGCCUUACACAUGCAAGUCGGGCGAGUGGCGGACGGGUGAGUAAUGUAUGGGGAUCUGCCUGAUCGAGGGGGAUAACUACUCGAAAAGGUGGCUAAUACCGCAUACUAUUCGAUCAACCCAUAUGGGAUUAGCUGGUAGGUGGGGUAACGGCUCACCUAGGCGACGAUCCCUAGCUGGUCUGAGAGGAUGAUCAGCCACACUGGGACUGAGACACGGCCCAGACUCCUACGGGAGGCAGCAGUGGGGAAUAUUGCACAAUGGGGGCAAGCCUGAUGCAGCCAUGCCGCGUGUAUGAAGAAGGCCUUCGGGUUGUAAAGUACUUUCAGUCGAGAGGCGUUACCGACAGAAGAAGCACCGGCUAACUCCGUGCCAGCAGCCGCGGUAAUUC